This is a long non-coding RNA of Apodemus sylvaticus (European woodmouse), 767 nucleotides long. RefSeq lists it as uncharacterized. The transcript has 3 exons. The record is from RefSeq and is a predicted model, not a curated record. NCBI's taxonomy places the organism in Eukaryota, Metazoa, Chordata, Mammalia, Rodentia, Muridae.
GCCCCAGUGACAGCCUCUCAAGUGCCCAGUAUCUUAACCCAGGCCUCAAACUCACCAAUCUCCUAGGGCAUCUUAAAGAGCAGGGCAGGGAGUGAGGCCACUUGGCCUACUCAGGCCACGUCUCCGGGCUGCAGAGGGCUGCUGGUCCUCCUGCUCAGGGUUGGUGGUGAGUGGAUGAGAGGAUAGCAGGGUAAGUCCACAGUGGACAUGUUUCCAUUUGAGUACCCCAAGACAGUCUACUGUGGAAGCCAGAAGUGACUACCCAAGCAGGCCCUGGCAUAGACCUUCCCCAAAGCGGAAGUAAGCUAGUUCCCAGCGGCCCCAUCCAGCCCUUUCAGGUUCCAAAGGGAGAGGUUGCAACUCUGGCUUUGAGUUUUGGAGAUCCUGCCUUUGACCUUGUCCCUUUGAAUGGCCCUCCUGGAACUUGACCCCUGUGAGGAAGAUAAUUAAUCUGCGCACCAGGCAGGAUUCCCUCCUGCAGUCUGUCACACAAGCGGCAGCAUGGAGGCUGCUGGCAGGAAUCUGAGCUGGAGGUGUACUCAGUGAAGGAACACCUGCCUAGCAUAUUCGAACUCCCUGAGACUUGCCCCCCCCCACGAAAUCAAUGGCAGGGGUCCUGUGAUCUGCCCUGAGCAUCAAGAUGUAGCCUGCAGCUAUUGCUCGAGUGCCUGCCUGCCUGCCUGCCUGCCGCUCUACACCAUGUUGUUCAUGGACUUACCCUCUGAAACUACAGCCAAUCCUCCAAUUAAAUGUUUUUUCUUCUUUAA